Molecule: non-coding RNA, 24 nt
Filed under: Arabidopsis thaliana (thale cress)
Lineage: Eukaryota; Viridiplantae; Streptophyta; Magnoliopsida; Brassicales; Brassicaceae
Source: RNAcentral
AGCCUCAACGGAGAUGUGAUUGAU